Molecule: ribosomal RNA, 292 nt
Filed under: uncultured bacterium
Lineage: Bacteria
Description: partial 16S ribosomal RNA
Rfam family: Bacterial small subunit ribosomal RNA
Source: RNAcentral
GUGUCAGCAGCCGCGGUAAAACGUAGGUCCCGAGCGUUAUCCGGAUUUACUGGGCGUAAAGCGUGUUCAGGCGGUCUAGCAAGUCGGGCAUGAAAUCUCUCGGCUCAACCGGGAGGGGUUGUCCGAUACUGCUGGGCUUGAGGGCAGCAGAGGGUGGUGGAAUUCCGGGUGUAGUGGUGAAAUGCGUAGAUAUCCGGAGGAACACCAGUGGCGAAGGCGGCCACCUGGGCUGUACCUGACGCUCCAACACGAAAGCUAGGGGAGCGAACGGGAUUAGAUACCCCCGUAGUCC